GGAUGAACGCUAGCUACAGGCUUAACACAUGCAAGUCGAGGGGCAGCAUUGGGAUAGCUUGCUAUUCAGAUGGCGACCGGCGCACGGGUGAGUAACGCGUAUCCAACCUUCCUGCCAGUAGGGAACAGCCCGGCGAAAGUCGGAUUAAUGCCCUAUGUUCUUCAAUGCGGACAUCUAAGUUGAAGGAAAGAUUCAUCGCUGGCAGAUGGGGAUGCGUCCGAUUAGCUUGCCGGCGGGGUAACGGCCCACCGGGGCGACGAUCGGUAGGGGUUCUGAGAGGAAGGUCCCCCACACUGGUACUGAGACACGGACCAGACUCCUACGGGAGGCAGCAGUGAGGAAUAUUGGUCAAUGGGCGUAAGCCUGAACCAGCCAAGUAGCGUGCAGGAUGACGGCCCUACGGGUUGUAAACUGCUUUUAUGCGGGGAUAAAGUGCGGCACGUGUGCCGCUUUGCAGGUACCGCAUGAAUAAGGACCGGCUAAUUCCGUGCCAGCAGCAGC
This 501-nucleotide ribosomal RNA is filed under the name uncultured bacterium. Its description in RNAcentral is "bacterial SSU rRNA". It matches the Rfam family "Bacterial small subunit ribosomal RNA", at positions 27 to 518 of the family's 1533-position model. The record is from RNAcentral.